RNAcentral lists this ribosomal RNA (510 nucleotides) under uncultured Desulfobulbus sp. RNAcentral describes it as "bacterial SSU rRNA". It matches the Rfam family "Bacterial small subunit ribosomal RNA", at positions 903 to 1382 of the family's 1533-position model. Lineage: Bacteria; Pseudomonadati; Thermodesulfobacteriota; Desulfobulbia; Desulfobulbales; Desulfobulbaceae. The record is from RNAcentral.
CGCCUUGCCAGCCCGCUCAGAAACUCAAAGGAAUUGACGGGGGCCCGCACAAGCGGUGGAGUAUGUGGUUUAAUUCGAUGCAACGCGAAGAACCUUACCUGGUCUUGACAUCCCGGAGACCCUUAGGAAACUAGGGGUGCUUCCAUCUGGAAGAAUCUGGAGACAGGUGCUGCAUGGCUGUCGUCAGCUCGUGUCGUGAGAUGUUGGGUUAAGUCCCGCAACGAGCGCAACCCUUGCCUUUAGUUGCCAGCAGUUCGGCUGGGCACUCUAAAGGGACUGCCGGUGUUAAACCGGAGGAAGGUGGGGAUGACGUCAAGUCCUCAUGGCCUUUAUGACCAGGGCUACACACGUACUACAAUGGCCGAUACAAAGGGCAGCGACACUGCGAGGUGAAGCCAAUCCCGUAAAAUCGGUCUCAGUCCGGAUUGGAGUCUGCAACUCGACUCCAUGAAGUUGGAAUCGCUAGUAAUCGUGGAUCAGCAUGCCACGGUGAAUACGUUCCCGGGCCUU